RNAcentral lists this ribosomal RNA (620 nucleotides) under Pseudomonas panipatensis. RNAcentral's name for it is "bacterial SSU rRNA". It matches the Rfam family "Bacterial small subunit ribosomal RNA", at positions 104 to 719 of the family's 1533-position model. The record is from RNAcentral. Lineage: Bacteria; Pseudomonadati; Pseudomonadota; Gammaproteobacteria; Pseudomonadales; Pseudomonadaceae.
GGGUGAGUAAUGCCUAGGAAUCUGCCUGGUAGUGGGGGACAACGUUUCGAAAGGAACGCUAAUACCGCAUACGUCCUACGGGAGAAAGUGGGGGAUCUUCGGACCUCACGCUAUCAGAUGAGCCUAGGUCGGAUUAGCUAGUUGGUGGGGUAAAGGCCUACCAAGGCGACGAUCCGUAACUGGUCUGAGAGGAUGAUCAGUCACACUGGAACUGAGACACGGUCCAGACUCCUACGGGAGGCAGCAGUGGGGAAUAUUGGACAAUGGGCGAAAGCCUGAUCCAGCCAUGCCGCGUGUGUGAAGAAGGUCUUCGGAUUGUAAAGCACUUUAAGUUGGGAGGAAGGGCAGUAAGUUAAUACCUUGCUGUUUUGACGUUACCAACAGAAUAAGCACCGGCUAACUUCGUGCCAGCAGCCGCGGUAAUACGAAGGGUGCAAGCGUUAAUCGGAAUUACUGGGCGUAAAGCGCGCGUAGGUGGUUUGGUAAGAUGGAUGUGAAAUCCCCGGGCUCAACCUGGGAACUGCAUCCAUAACUGCCUGACUAGAGUACGGUAGAGGGUGGUGGAAUUUCCUGUGUAGCGGUGAGAUGCGUAGAUAUAGGAAGGGAACACCAGUGGCGAA